UACGUAGGUGACAAGCGUUGUCCGGAUUUACUGGGCGUAAAGAGCGCGCAGGCGGUCGAUCAAGUCGAGUGUGAAAGCCCCCGGCUCAACUGGGGAGGGUCAUUCGAUACUGAUCGACUCGAAGGCAGGAGAGGGUAGUGGAAUUUCCGGUGUAGUGGUGAAAUGCGUAGAGAUCAGGAAGAACAUCGGUGGCGAAGGCGCUCUGCUGGACCAUAACUGACACUCAGGGACGAAAGCUAGGGGAGCGAAUGGG
This 253-nucleotide ribosomal RNA is filed under the name uncultured bacterium. RNAcentral describes it as "partial 16S ribosomal RNA". It matches the Rfam family "Bacterial small subunit ribosomal RNA", at positions 524 to 776 of the family's 1533-position model. The record is from RNAcentral.